This is a long non-coding RNA of Brienomyrus brachyistius, 1153 nucleotides long. RefSeq lists it as uncharacterized. The transcript is spliced from 3 exons. NCBI's taxonomy places the organism in Eukaryota, Metazoa, Chordata, Actinopteri, Osteoglossiformes, Mormyridae. The record is from RefSeq and is a predicted model, not a curated record.
AUCAGGCGCGUAAAAUAAAACCUCUCGAGUAGAUCUGAGCUUCCAUCCAUCCAUCCAUCUAUACAUCCUUCCAUCCAUUUUCUCCAAACGCUUGUCCAGGGUCGCGGGAGUGCGGAGCCCAUCCAUCCCGGAGGCUUAUAGCCUCACUAGCAUUGAUUUUGACUGAGGAAUGACAAGCACUGUUGCAUGCUGGGAAAACACAGGACACGUAAUGGAGGCGUCUUCCACCAGCAAUCUGUGAUUUACAACCAUGAGCAGCUGGCGGAGAACAACUCCUGUGUGGAGAGGAAGUCAUCUUUGCUUCUGUGGAUUUUGAGUACUUGGCAGCGCCUUGGAGAAGACAAGCAAACAUCCCGAGACACGGGGAAGAUCCCAGGGAAGUAGGCGCUGAAGAGCAAACGUGGAUAGCACACAUCCAUCCAUGUGGGAGAAGCGGGGGUGUGAGGCUAGAUGCAUGCUGGGUUCUUGCUGUCAGCACAGCUGGCAUGCAUGUUCAUGGUGGGGAGAUUAAAGACCCCCCGACUUAUCAUCUGCAGGGCUUGUGGGAAGGAGAGUCAGUGGAGUAGAGACUCUUGUAUGGUUUGUGUUGUGUAAUUCCCUCCUCCCAGUAGUGGCUGUGCCACACUAACUAUAAUACACUGUAAACGACAACCUGCAUCUUCGCCUUCCAAAAGAGGCCACCCUUUGUUGCUGUUUCCUGGGAAAAUGAAAAAUUUGUACAGGAAAUGUGAGGAUGGCAAAAUGUCCAUUCAUUGUCAGCAUUUUCCCCGUUUCAGUAUCAGUGCCUCCUCAACAGGAAUCUCACGUCAAAAUCAUUCUGUUACAUGAUCCCUGGAAGCGUAUGUGUCUGUAAAAUUCACAGCUCCAGAGCCUUUAAGAUAGUGUCUUCCAGGGGGGAAUUUUGCCACUAUCUACAAAGGAAGAAUAUAUCCAUCCAUAUUGUACAAUAGUGUUUCCCAAUCCGGGUCCCCGGGACCCACAGUCGAUCCACAUUUUCGCUCCCUCCAAUCCCCCUACCAGACAGUCCAUAUUUUUGCUAUUGCAAGCUGGGAGGGAGCAAGAAUGUGGACUGUUCGUGGGUCCCCUCGGAGCGGACUGAGAAACACUGUUGGUUUGGGUCAUGAUGAUAGCCUGGCGCCUAUUACAGAUAGAA